Non-coding RNA from Myotis lucifugus (little brown bat), 131 nucleotides. NCBI's taxonomy places the organism in Eukaryota, Metazoa, Chordata, Mammalia, Chiroptera, Vespertilionidae. The record is from Rfam.
CAUGCACUGGUGGGGUCCCUUGGCCUGGCCUGUGUCCUCUCUCAAUCCAUCUGGGACACCUCAGGGGAUGUCAGACUGCCAGUUUUGGCCCAAUCCCUGCAGGCCAGGCCAAGGGACCCCACCGGUGCAUG